GAAUAUUGGACAAUGGGCGAAAGCCUGAUCCAGCAAUGCCGCGUGUGUGAAGAAGGUCUUCGGAUUGUAAACCACUUUAAGUUGGGAGGAAGGGCAGUAAGCGAUUCACCUGCUUUUUUGACGUUACUCACAGAAAUCGCCCCGGCUAACUCUGUCCCCGUAGCCGCGGUAAUACAGAGGGUGCAAGCGUUAAUCGGAAUUACUGGGCGGAAAGCGCGCGUAGGUGGUUCGUUAAGUUGGAUGUGAAAUCCCCGGGCUCAACCUGGGAACUGCAUCCAAAACUGGCGAGCUAGAGUAGGGCAGAGGGUGAUGGAAUAUCCUGUGUAGCGGUGAAAUGCGUAGAUAUAGGAAGGAACACCAGUGGCGAAGGCGACCACCUGGGCUCAUACUGACACUGAGGUGCGAAAGCGUGGGGAGCAAACA
RNAcentral lists this ribosomal RNA (423 nucleotides) under uncultured bacterium. RNAcentral's name for it is "partial 16S ribosomal RNA". It matches the Rfam family "Bacterial small subunit ribosomal RNA", at positions 359 to 774 of the family's 1533-position model. The record is from RNAcentral.